RNAcentral lists this long non-coding RNA (996 nucleotides) under Felis catus (domestic cat). Its description in RNAcentral is "lncRNA (ENSFCAG00000042845.2)". The record is from RNAcentral. Lineage: Eukaryota; Metazoa; Chordata; Mammalia; Carnivora; Felidae.
AGAACGGAAAAAAGAAAGAGCUGCCACUUCCGAAGCGUAGCCCCGGCGUCCGGCAGGGCGACGUUCCCACCCGCACCCGGCUAGCCUCGGUGCCGGGCACCCUGCCCAGUUUUCACUCGCGGGGUCUCGCUGCCCCCGUGAGGCGAGCGACCCGACCCGCGAGUCCCCGGUCCCGCUGGCGCCCCUGCCUCGGGACAGCCUCACCCAGGACCUGCCUUCCCCGGAGCGGAACAGAAUCCCUAGUUUCAGAUGUUACAUGACUUGCAGCGUGUCCUGUCACAACCUCCCUUCUUCAUUCUCUGCUGUGUGAGAGGAAAUGGGAACACUCAUCGGCAAAGGGAAUUUCUUAAGGAACUCUUAUUGCUGGUGCUGCUGUUGUUUGAGACUUCCAGAAGCCCAUUUUCUCCUGUUAUUGGACGGACAAAAAAUAUUGCCUUGAGAAGUCACUCGCUGUGCCAUUGGUUGGCCCAUGACUCAGCAGAGGUUAGAUGCUAUUUUACCCUCAGAGUGUUAAGACUCUAUACCUGAGCCUGGACUAAAUCUUUCCCCAAGAGCAUAUUUUACAAUGAAACAAAGGAUGAGACCCCAGAGUACAGAAUGAAUCUACGUGUGUACUGGGAACUGGGAGAUGAGGGCAAACGUGAGUGCAAAGAGAGAAAGAAGAUGGAGGCCCCAUGAUUCUGCUUCCGUGGCAACAGCCAAAGCCAUAUUCUGCCACUUCUACCGUAUCUCCUCUAUUCUCUAGAUGGCGGCUGCUCAGCCAAAGGAAAGAAUUCGAUCUGAGGUUGGAGGAAGAGGAAUGAGUCCACAGAUACACAUUUUGGAUGUGCUGCCUGGAGAUGAUGCAAGUGCUGUCAAGUUUCCCAACCUGGAUUUUAUUUCCUUCAUGAUGAGAAAUAGAAGUACAUAAUUUGGCAGAGAGAAAAGUGAUUAUCCUGUUGGUUAAGAGGAAAAUGUUUUAGUGAUAUGAAAAAUAAAAAAUCACUACAAAUUCCA